Molecule: ribosomal RNA, 429 nt
Filed under: Pseudomonas sp. R10.37
Lineage: Bacteria; Pseudomonadati; Pseudomonadota; Gammaproteobacteria; Pseudomonadales; Pseudomonadaceae
Description: bacterial SSU rRNA
Rfam family: Bacterial small subunit ribosomal RNA
Source: RNAcentral
CUGAUUCAGCGGCGGACGGGUGAGUAAUGCCUAGGAAUCUGCCUGGUAGUGGGGGACAACGUCUCGAAAGGGACGCUAAUACCGCAUACGUCCUACGGGAGAAAGCAGGGGACCUUCGGGCCUUGCGCUAUCAGAUGAGCCUAGGUCGGAUUAGCUAGUUGGUGAGGUAAUGGCUCACCAAGGCGACGAUCCGUAACUGGUCUGAGAGGAUGAUCAGUCACACUGGAACUGAGACACGGUCCAGACUCCUACGGGAGGCAGCAGUGGGGAAUAUUGGACAAUGGGCGAAAGCCUGAUCCAGCCAUGCCGCGUGUGUGAAGAAGGUCUUCGGAUUGUAAAGCACUUUAAGUUGGGAGGAAGGGCAGUAAGCGAAUACCUUGCUGUUUUGACGUUACCGACAGAAUAAGCACCGGCUAACUCUGUGCCAGC